Molecule: ribosomal RNA, 720 nt
Filed under: Peribacillus muralis
Lineage: Bacteria; Bacillati; Bacillota; Bacilli; Caryophanales; Bacillaceae
Description: bacterial SSU rRNA
Rfam family: Bacterial small subunit ribosomal RNA
Source: RNAcentral
UCGAUGGGAGCUUGCUCCCUGAGAUUAGCGGCGGACGGGUGAGUAACACGUGGGCAACCUGCCUAUAAGACUGGGAUAACUUCGGGAAACCGGAGCUAAUACCGGAUACGUUCUUUUCUCGCAUGAGAGAAGAUGGAAAGACGGUUUACGCUGUCACUUAUAGAUGGGCCCGCGGCGCAUUAGCUAGUUGGUGAGGUAAUGGCUCACCAAGGCGACGAUGCGUAGCCGACCUGAGAGGGUGAUCGGCCACACUGGGACUGAGACACGGCCCAGACUCCUACGGGAGGCAGCAGUAGGGAAUCUUCCGCAAUGGACGAAAGUCUGACGGAGCAACGCCGCGUGAACGAAGAAGGCCUUCGGGUCGUAAAGUUCUGUUGUUAGGGAAGAACAAGUACCAGAGUAACUGCUGGUACCUUGACGGUACCUAACCAGAAAGCCACGGCUAACUACGUGCCAGCAGCCGCGGUAAUACGUAGGUGGCAAGCGUUGUCCGGAAUUAUUGGGCGUAAAGCGCGCGCAGGUGGUUCCUUAAGUCUGAUGUGAAAGCCCACGGCUCAACCGUGGAGGGUCAUUGGAAACUGGGGAACUUGAGUGCAGAAGAGGAAAGUGGAAUUCCAAGUGUAGCGGUGAAAUGCGUAGAGAUUUGGAGGAACACCAGUGGCGAAGGCGACUUUCUGGUCUGUAACUGACACUGAGGCGCGAAAGCGUGGGGAGCAAACA